Molecule: ribosomal RNA, 492 nt
Filed under: uncultured bacterium
Lineage: Bacteria
Description: partial 16S ribosomal RNA
Rfam family: Bacterial small subunit ribosomal RNA
Source: RNAcentral
AGUGAACGCUGGCGGUAGGCCCAACACAUGCAAGUCGAACGGCAGCACAGUAAGAGCUUGCUCUUACGGGUGGCGAGUGGCGGACGGGUGAGGAAUACAUCGGAAUCUACUUUUUCGUGGGGGAUAACGUAGGGAAACUUACGCUAAUACCGCAUACGACCUACGGGUGAAAGCAGGGGAUCUUCGGACCUUGCGCGAUUGAAUGAGCCGAUGUCGGAUUAGCUAGUUGGCGGGGUAAAGGCCCGCCAAGGCGACGAUCCGUAGCUGGUCUGAGAGGAUGAUCAGCCACACUGGAACUGAGACACGGUCCAGACUCCUACGGGAGGCAGCAGUGGGGAAUAUUGGACAAUGGGCGCAAGCCUGAUCCAGCCAUACCGCGUGGGUGAAGAAGGCCUUCGGGUUGUAAAGCCCUUUUGUUGGGAAAGAAAAGCAGCAGGUUAAUACCCCGCUGUUCUGACGGUACCCAAAGAAUAAGCACCGGCUAACUUCGUG